GCGGGAGUAGCUCAGCUGGAUAGAGCAUCGGUCUUCUAAACCGAGGGUCGUGGGUUCGAAUCCCACCUCCCGCGCCA
This 77-nucleotide transfer RNA is filed under the name Verrucomicrobia bacterium TMED56. RNAcentral describes it as "tRNA-Arg". It matches the Rfam family "tRNA". From Rfam's summary of the family: Transfer RNA (tRNA) molecules are approximately 80 nucleotides in length. Their secondary structure includes four short double-helical elements and three loops (D, anti-codon, and T loops). Further hydrogen bonds mediate the characteristic L-shaped molecular structure. tRNAs have two regions of fundamental functional importance: the anti-codon, which is responsible for specific mRNA codon recognition, and the 3' end, to which the tRNAs corresponding amino acid is attached (by aminoacyl-tRNA synthetases). tRNAs cope with the degeneracy of the genetic code in two manners: having more than one tRNA (with a specific anti-codon) for a particular amino acid; and 'wobble' base-pairing, i.e. permitting non-standard base-pairing at the 3rd anti-codon position. The record is from RNAcentral. RNAcentral also lists the same sequence under 2 other names. Lineage: Bacteria; Pseudomonadati; Verrucomicrobiota.